GGCGGUACUUAGUUCGGCGGUGCGCGCCGGCCAGAUGGAGAGGGCGAUGAGAGGUCGUCGCGCCGGCAACGGGAAAAGAAGGGGAGGAGUGGGCGGGGUUGAGGAGUGGGGGUCGGAGGAGCCGGAGUUGCGCCUGCAGAGGCUAAACCUAUCCUAAGCUACCGCACAAGUGUGGCGGUGCGCGCCGGCCACGGGACAAGAAGCGGAGGAGUGGGGGCCGGAGGAGGCGGAGCUCCUCCUGCCGAGGCUAAACCUCGAGUUCAUGACGGAGGGGCUGUGGAGGCAGGGGUUGAUGCAGCAGGGCAGUCUGCUCCUGCUCUAAACCUAACCCCGCGUUGUCUCUACUCCUUCCUGUUUCGUUCUUAUCGAGGUCACUCUCACUUGCUUAUACUUGUGGUGUUGGGAGAGUCCCCUACAACCGACUAGUCCUAUGGGUUAAGAGUUUGUUCGUACGACUCUACGAGUUCUAUACCUUCAAGCAGGUGUUCGAGCUGGUGGUCCAAAAAAACCAAGUACAAGUUACCCUCCGCUUAUCACAUCUCUCCCAUAGACUACGUUCAGGUUCCAUUUGUAAACAAAGAAAAUAACACAAAUCCACUUGUACAUUUUCCACGUCUACCUGUACUACUUCGGCACUUAACAGUGUGUUCAGUGACUCGAAGAACCCAAGCUUUUUGAUGGAUUGACGAUAAUAGGACUUAAAUCAAAAUAGACUUGAUUCUCCUGGUGGACACGAAGAGAUUGUUUCUUAAUGAGUAAACCAUAAGAAAACGUGACAACUAAAAUCAAGUUUAACCACACUCACGCUGGAGAAACAGUACAACCUAUUCCGAAAGACAUAGUGUACCUACACUGGACAUCAUACCACAUCUUUUCACUACUUUCCAUAAUCAACCUUAAUUAAACCGUCGUUAUCAAAUAGUUCAAAAACGGUUCGGUCGAUAAACACCUUAAAGACGUCGACAUGAAACACGGUAGAGGGAGUACGUCUAUAUAUAUGAUCGUCUGAUCGUGCAUUUAAUAAAUGUAGUUUUGACUCUGUAUAGAUAUAUACUACCUCCGUAAAGAAAGAAAUAUAAGUCGUCAUGGAGAACGAUGAUAUUUCUUUCAUCUUUGUACCAACUAUUUAUUAGUGUAACAAGACGGGUAAAAAGUAAAGUGUUAGGUAAUGUUAACAAUACAGGAACGUUAGUAUGGUGAUGUGUACUGCGAAGGAUCUAGACCUUGGGUUGGUUUCUUGUUAGUUCAAACUAAGCACGACAAUAACCCGGAGCGACGCUGGGACUACAAAAACCCGGUUCAACCCGUCUUAGAUGAGUACGAAUAUUUUGUUCAAACAAUUGUCUAAUUUGUCAGGGUGGAUCGAAGAAUGUCGAUUAAGAUAGUUCAAAUUUUUUUUAUUAAGAUAGUUAAAUAUAUACGGAUAUUCAUACUCUUAAUUGUUCGUCGAACUCUUAUUUGAUUGCCUCCCACUCGACACAAAUCCUUUUUCAUAGUGGACCAACCGCAUUAUUUAUUUUCCUCAACCCCUAACAACCGACGGUUUACUUUUUAGAGUCCUCCGGAUUUAUUUUCCCUAGCACCCGACGCUUAGUUUUUUGGGACCAAUCAUAUUUAUUUCCUUUAACACCCGAGACUUUACUUUUUAAGGCCAACUGUAUUUAUUUCCCUAACACCCGAUGCUUUGCUUAUUAGAGUUAACUCGUGCUAACAACAUACGAUGUGCUUUUUAUUUUCGCUGAUACCAGACACUUUGUUUUUUAUUCGUUUCCGGAGGGCCAACCGUAUUUAUUUUACGAUACUUUGCUUCUUUUAUUUAUUUACCCGUACCAACUUGUUAAAGUCAUAAAAUAUGAUUAUGAUAAAAGUAAAUUUCCGACUUAAAACAGUGGGGCAACGUUGUGUGCCCGUAUACAGGAUCUUCUAUAAACCUUACGUCUCAAGUACUUUUGUUUAUAAACACGCCAGAUUUAUCAUGACAUAAAAUCAAAAGACCUUCCUACGUUUUCAGUAUGACCCGAAGGACACAUAUGACUAACGAUUUACUACGUUAUCAUAAACACGCCACCCCCUCACAGUAAGGGACACAAAUGGUUAACCAGAGUGGGAGAAUUCUCUAGAUUGGGAACAGUGGCAUUCCUUUUUUCGUUUCUCAUAAUACUGCGGUAUUUCAAACUUAAGUCUCUUCAUAUACGACUUCUUGUGGUCUUAAUCAGAAGUACUUGGUAGUAGCGGAACAACUACUACGAAGUGUACCGCGGGUGUUUAAUUUGUUGGAUACUUUACCGGUCUUCCCUGGCCUAUAGGAUGAACAUAAACGUCUCCUUAAGGCUUGUACGAAGUAGUUAAGUCAUUUCCGGAUACAUCUUUGUAGAAACUGAAGUGAUCUCUCACCUAGACGUGAGCUCCUCGUCGAGCUCGUCGAGACGUGUGUACGGAUCUGGAUGAAAGGACAGCCGCGACAACUAUACACACAAGACAUAGUAAGAAAUGCAGAUCGCACACUACAUUAGGUAAAAGUCUGAAAAGUGGUCACCUUCGUAUAUAAAAUGCUCGACUUAGUUAUCUACAAGUAACUCGAAUAAAAGUACAUUUUCGCGUACAUGUAAGAGUCGUUUUUGUUCUUUCACACACACACGGGCUGGAAGAGGGCGACGCUGGACCUGGUCCUUCGUGCAGUUUGUCUUUACAGUUAGAAAUGUGGUCGUAAUUCGGGGAUCUUUUUCAGAUAGUGGACAUAGAAACGUAUAGUGGCUCUGCCUCGGUC
Molecule: ribosomal RNA, 2767 nt
Filed under: Triticum aestivum (bread wheat)
Lineage: Eukaryota; Viridiplantae; Streptophyta; Magnoliopsida; Poales; Poaceae
Description: partial small subunit ribosomal RNA
Source: RNAcentral